GUGGGGAAUAUUGGACAAUGGGCGAAAGCCUGAUCCAGCCAUGCCGCGUGUGUGAAGAAGGUCUUCGGAUUGUAAAGCACUUUAAGUUGGGAGGAAGGGCAGUAAGUUAAUACCUUGCUGUUUUGACGUUACCGACAGAAUAAGCACCGGCUAACUUCGUGCCAGCAGCCGCGGUAAUACGAAGGGUGCAAGCGUUAAUCGGAAUUACUGGGCGUAAAGCGCGCGUAGGUGGUUUUGUAAGUUGGGGGUGAAAUCCCCGGGCUCAACCUGGGAACUGCCUCCAAAACUGCAUGACUAGAGUACGGUAGAGGGUAGUGGAAUUUCCUGUGUAGCGGUGAAAUGCGUAGAUAUAGGAAGGAACACCAGUGGCGAAGGCGACUACCUGGACUGAUACUGACACUGAGGUGCGAAAGCGUGGGGAGCAAACAGGAUUAGAUACCCUAGUAGUCC
Molecule: ribosomal RNA, 450 nt
Filed under: uncultured bacterium
Lineage: Bacteria
Description: partial 16S ribosomal RNA
Rfam family: Bacterial small subunit ribosomal RNA
Source: RNAcentral